GUGGGGAAUCUUGCGCAAUGGGCGAAAGCCUGACGCAGCCAUGCCGCGUGAAUGAUGAAGGUCUUAGGAUUGUAAAAUUCUUUCACCGGGGACGAUAAUGACGGUACCCGGAGAAGAAGCUCCGGCUAACUUCGUGCCAGCAGCCGCGGUAAUACGAAGGGGGCUAGCGUUGCUCGGAAUUACUGGGCGUAAAGGGCGCGUAGGCGGACAACUUAGUCAGAGGUGAAAGCCCAGGGCUCAACCUUGGAAUUGCCUUUGAUACUGGCUGUCUUGAGUUUGGGAGAGGUGAGUGGAACUCCGAGUGUAGAGGUGAAAUUCGUAGAUAUUCGGAAGAACACCAGUGGCGAAGGCGACUCACUGGCCCAAUACUGACGCUGAGGCGCGAAAGCGUGGGGAGCAAACAGGAUUAGAUACCCCUGUAGUCC
This 425-nucleotide ribosomal RNA is filed under the name uncultured bacterium. Its description in RNAcentral is "partial 16S ribosomal RNA". It matches the Rfam family "Bacterial small subunit ribosomal RNA", at positions 354 to 796 of the family's 1533-position model. The record is from RNAcentral.